This is a non-coding RNA of Sesamum indicum (sesame), 1343 nucleotides long. Lineage: Eukaryota; Viridiplantae; Streptophyta; Magnoliopsida; Lamiales; Pedaliaceae. The record is from RefSeq and is a predicted model, not a curated record.
UUGACCUUAAUCUCUUCUAGCAAAGGGAUCAAGGUCUCGUUCGUUCUGGUAUGGUGUGGACUUUGCUUUAGAGGAUUUCAAUAUUGGGAUCUUGAAGUGAACGAUUCUCAAUUGGGAACUUGAAUCGAAAGAGAUAGGCUUCCGUUACAUGAUUCAAAAGUUAUAUAAGCGAAGCGGAGGAAGACAAUGGAAGGAAGAAACAACAGGAAAUGGAGAGGAAAGAUGAGGGAUAUUCUCAUCCAACGCUUCCAUAUGAUUUAAUUGAGAGAUUGGAGGAUAUGAAUUAUUGGGAAGAGUGGAGUUGUCCAUGGACGUUUGAUGAAGAGCAAAUGUGGUGGGUUGGAGUGCUUGGGCAGUACUAUCAACUUACUGAAGAUGGUGCUGCAUGAUAUAUGAGCUUAAGAUGAAUGAAAGAGCUCCCUCAAAUCCAUAAAUUUGAAUAAAUAUGUUGUUUGUUUUUUAAGGUUUUUCGUGAUGAUAAACUUGUCACUUAAUUUCAUUCUUAUCUGGAGAUGAACAUUUGCUUCUACACCAAUUUACAUUCCUUAUGUCAGGUCCAAGAUUUGCAUUAAUUGACAGCCUCAUGAGGUCAGAAACAGAUCAGUGUGCAUUGGAUGUGGGAUUUCAGUAAUAUAUCCUCAACAACAUAAACAUGAAAUUAGAAUAAGCAGCUGUACAAAUUGAUAUUAUGAGAAUUAAGUUUCCUUGAUUUCAAUGUCUAAGCAAAUCACACACACUUACACUCUCAUAAAUCAAAAUAAUCUAAGUAUAAUUCUGCAAAUCCUGCCAUCUACGCCCAUCCUCAUAUGCAAUUACCAAUCAUGUGAAAUAGGAGGACUCUCUCACCUGUUACCACCCAAUAUGCCAACACUAACUUACCAUAUUUGCUUUUGGGACAACAAGACAUGCCUCCUUUUCUCUCAUAUAUUUUCCAAAAAUACCCAAUUCACAAUCUCCUCAUUUUAAUAUAUCUGGAUUUUGUAACUCACUCAGAUUUGUGUAAUAUUAAGAGAAUCCAAUACAGAAAUUAUAUGUGCAAGAACUCUUUCUCUGUGUCUCUGUGUGCGUGUCUGUUUAUAUAUAUAUCGGCUCUGCUGAAGGGGUGAACCUAAAGUACAUCGCACGAUAAAUGGCAUUGUCAAAUGAAGAAACGGGAGAAGAGUACGAUAUGAAUGCACACGUCUCACUACCGGAAGACUUAAUUGAGAAGUUGAAGAAUGUUAAGAAUUGGGAGGAGUGGCCAUGUCGAUGGACGUUCGACGAGGAAAAGAUGAGCGUGGUGUGGUUAUGGCCUCACUGCAUUGUUCAUGACAAACCUCCACUUGUCAAUCAUGAUUUUGAGA